AGGGGAUUAGUGGCGAACGGGUGAGUAACACGUGGGCAAUCUGCCCUUCACUCUGGGACAAGCCCUGGAAACGGGGUCUAAUACCGGAUACGACCUCCGACCGCAUGGUCUGGUGGUGGAAAGCUCCGGCGGUGAAGGAUGAGCCCGCGGCCUAUCAGCUUGUUGGUGGGGUGAUGGCCUACCAAGGCGACGACGGGUAGCCGGCCUGAGAGGGCGACCGGCCACACUGGGACUGAGACACGGCCCAGACUCCUACGGGAGGCAGCAGUGGGGAAUAUUGCACAAUGGGCGAAAGCCUGAUGCAGCGACGCCGCGUGAGGGAUGACGGCCUUCGGGUUGUAAACCUCUUUCAGCAGGGAAGAAGCGAGAGUGACGGUACCUGCAGAAGAAGCGCCGGCUAACUACGUGCCAGCAGCCGCGGUAAUACGUAGGGCGCAAGCGUUGUCCGGAAUUAUUGGGCGUAAAGAGCUCGUAGGCGGCUUGUCGCGUCGGAUGUGAAAGCCCGGGGCUUAACCCCGGGUCUGCAUUCGAUACGGGCAGGCUAGAGUUCGGUAGGGGAGAUCGGAAUUCCUGGUGUAGCG
This 581-nucleotide ribosomal RNA is filed under the name Streptomyces angustmyceticus. Its description in RNAcentral is "bacterial SSU rRNA". It matches the Rfam family "Bacterial small subunit ribosomal RNA", at positions 86 to 680 of the family's 1533-position model. The record is from RNAcentral. Lineage: Bacteria; Bacillati; Actinomycetota; Actinomycetes; Kitasatosporales; Streptomycetaceae.